RNAcentral lists this long non-coding RNA (6480 nucleotides) under Equus caballus (horse). Its description in RNAcentral is "lncRNA (ENSECAG00000045812.1)". Lineage: Eukaryota; Metazoa; Chordata; Mammalia; Perissodactyla; Equidae. The record is from RNAcentral.
UUGAAGCCACAAGUGUGGAUGGUCUGGGCCCAGGUUGGAGCAGCCCCCGAGGAUCCCAUACAUGGCUGGGGAGGGGUGAGGCCAUGGCUCAGGAAGGGUCAGGCAGCCCUCUACACCCUCCUCACCACCCCAGCCUCAGGAAGAAGCCGUGCUGCCUCACGAAUGGGACAUCCAGUGAGAUGAGUGUGGGGGCCACAGACCUGGCUCCUGGCCUCUGAAUGCCGUUUCUGCAGGGGCGGGCUCUGUGGAAACAUGGGCCCUGAUGAUGCCUUCUGAGGGUGCUCUGGGAACCUGUUCAGCAGGAUGCUGGAAAGAACUGGUGCCCAUCCCAGGGGACCCAAGGGGGUCCUACAGGUGCAGCUGCAGGUCAGGGGGAAGUCCUGAGAUGCCCCGUGAAUAAUGAGAGCUCUUGAGGUGCAGGCUGUGCCCAGGGUCUGCUGCCUGGGUGGGGCACAUGGGAGACCUUCCCUCCCUUGAGGCCACCUUGCCUGCCAGGGGACCACACAGUGGUAUCCUAUGAGGCAGGAGCAGCCCCUGUGGGAUGUUAUUGGUGAGAAGCAAUGAGAUCUGGUUUUGCAAGGUGGUGGGGGGAGGCGGGGAGAAGGGCUGAGAGUGGCCAUGUGGGGAGCCAGUGAGCAUGCUGGUGGAGGGAGGGGAUGGGCACCGGGACCCUGCAAGGGGCCGUGGCGUGGUGGUGAUGUUUCAUUGUGCUGUUUACAUGGGCCUCCGUGUCUUCGGAGGGAGAGCAAACCUUGGCGUCUUCCUGACCACUGACCACACGCAUGAACUCACAGCAAAUUAAUCAAAUCAUUCUUUUCCAGGAAAACAAACACAGAAUCCAUGUUCAGGACAUUUCCCCUCCCCAGACAAUGACCCACUGGGUGAAACUCCAGAAAACUGCCUCGUCCACACAGACCUGGGAAGCCCAGACCCAGCCUGUGGGCAGUCAGAUGGUGGUCCCCAGAGUUCCUGCUGCUGGUCCAGCACAGCUGGCAGGUUAUAGGGGAGGGUCAUGUCCCCCUGGGAGGCUCAGGAGGCAGAUUUCUGCAGAAAGAGUUAAAAAGCCAUCCAGGGUUAGUCACACAGAGGAGGAGGUGACACAUUCACAUUCGAGGGCUGAGGAGCGUUGUCCUGGUGCCUGUGUACGACCUGCUCCUCCUCCAGGAGCGGAGCUGCAGAGGCCCGGGGCUGAUGGGGAAGGCACCACGCCCUGCCAAGCUCCCAGCCUCUCGCAGGGCCUCCCCUGCAGCGGCUCAGACGACGCUGUCCACCUGGGAGCAUCACCCUCACAGUGACCCCACUUGGGAACCAAAGACACGGGGCCCAGGAGGCCAAAGACAGGAGGCCCAGGCCCCCACUGGGGCACCCUGGACAGACCAGGCCCCCACCACGGCAGCACCCUGCACUCCUGAAUCUCCAGGUCACCCACCAAGUCAUUUCCUCUGUGUCUUUUCCUUGUUCCAAGCUCUCCACCUCCCUGAACCCGAGCACACAUGGCCUGGAGGAUAUACUGUGUGACUGUGCAUUUUACGGCAGUUUUACAAGAGUGACGUGUCAUAUGAACUUUCCACCUGUGUCUGGGAUGCCCCUGAGUCACCUGGACACGUCUCUUCCAUGGAAGGCUGCACAGGCAGAUGCUGUUAUGACUGAACUGUGUCGCCCCUAAAUUCUCACGCUGAAGCUUUGACCCCCAGAAUCUCAGAAUAUGACUUGAAGGCCCUUGAAGAUUGGGCCUUUAAAGAGUGACUCAGUGAAACCAGGCUGAUAGGUUGGGCUCAAACCCAGUCUGACUGGUGUCCUUGUAAGAAGAGGAGAUGUGGACGCAGACACGCUGAGGGGAGGAGGCUGCAGGGAGGGACAGCCGUCUGCAGGCGAAGGAGAGAGGCCUUGGGGGCAACCGGUGCUGCUGACACCAUGAUCUCGGAGCUCGGCCUCCAGGAUGGUGAGACAUGCAUUCCCGCCCCAGCCUGUGGCGUUGUCGUGGCAGUGGAGCCCACCGCACACCCAGCAUGCCAGCGCCGUGGGUGCCCAGCAUGCCAGCGCCGUGGGUGCCCAGCAUGCCAGCGCCAUGGGUGCCCAGCAUGCCAAGGGGCUGGAUUCGCAGAUGCUCCUGGCUGUAGCUGAUGUGGCCGGACCACAGUGCUCCGCAUUCCUCUCGGCACACAAGGCUCGCCUGCCCCACAUCAGCCCCUGUGGCCAUCAGCACUUUUGCUUUUUCAUUUUUGCCAGUGUGACAUGUCCCAAGUGACACCUCACCCCUCAUGAAGCCAGUGCCCACCCAGGUCCCUUCCAGCAACGCACAGCCCCUGCUGCCCAGGGCAGGCCACCCUCGUGGUGACGACCAACUCCCGGGCAGGGUUGCCCCCAAGCCAACAGCUCCGUCCUCUCCCAGUCCUCCGCACUCCUGAGGUAUCUCCCCAGAGGCCCCCACCUCCAGAUGCCCCUGUCCCAGAGAGCAGCCCCCGUGUCUGUGGUGCUCGCUUCCCUGACAGCCAGUGCACCCGAAACCUUCUCAGGUCUGAUGGCUCGUGGACUUGCUCGUUGGUUCGCCCAGUCAAAGCCCUCUCCCAUCUUCCCAUAGAGUUUGUCUCUUUCUUGACAACUUAUAAGAGUUCUUAGUACAGGGGCUGGCCCCGUGGUUGAGUGGUUAAGUAUGUGCACUCUGCUUCGGCGGCCCAGGGUUUUGCUGGUUCGGAUCCUGGUUGCGGACAGGGCACUGCUCGUCUGGCCAUGCUGAGGUAUCAUCCCACAUGCCACAACUAGAAAGACCCACAAUGAAAAAUACACAACUAUGUACCAGGGGGUGGGGGGCUUUGGGAGAAAAAGGAAAAAUAAAAUCUUAAAAAAAAAAAAGUUCUUAGUACAAUAUGGACUUUAGCUAUCUGUCACCUUAAUUAAACUAGUUUCUCAAAUCAAUGAUUUGUCUGCUGACUUGGCUUGUGGAAUAUUUUGCUACAUUCAAGUUUCAAGUUUGAUAUAGUUAAGUGUGACUGUAGGGAAAUAUGGAAGUAUAUAUAUAAGAGAUUACUGUGUUUCUCCAGACAGAGUCUGUAUAAGGAGAAGAAAACCAAAAAAAUUAAUAUCCUCAAAGAGAUGAGAGAAAGUAUCGUGACCACAGAAAAAGAUCAGAAUGCUACAGAAGUAAUUAUUCAGAGAACAAAAACAAGCUCUUGGAAAUAAACGUGACGGCAGAAAUGAAAAGCUCAGUGAAGGAGCUGGAAGUCAGAGUUCAAGCGUCUCCUUGAAAGUAAAGCCAAAGACCAAAAAAAAAAAGGAAAUAGGAAAGGUUUUUGGAGUCCAGUCUGAGAGGCCCGAGAUCCUGACAGUGUUUACCACAGAAAGAGGGAGAGAGAAGACACAGGGAGGAGAUAAUUUAAAAUUAGUAAUUCAGGGGCCGGCCUGGUGGUGCGGUGGUUAAGUGUGCACGUUCUGCUUUGGUGGCCCAGGGUUCGCCGGUUCAGAUCCCUGGUGCUCGGCAAGCCAUGCUGUGGUAGGCGUCCCACAUACAAAGUAGAGGAAGAUGGGCAUGGAUGUUAGCUCAGGGCCAGUCUUCCUCAGCAAAAAGAGGAGGAUUGGCAGCAGAUGUUAGCUCAGGGCUAAUCUUCCUCAAAAAAAAAAAAAAAAAUUAGUAAUUCAAGAAAAUUUCUGGAACUGAAAGACAGGAAUUUCCAGAUUGAAAGAGCUGCUGGGCACCUAGCAAUGGGAUGAAAAUGAAGCCACAGAAAGGCCAUUUUCAUGAACUGUGAGAACACUGAGGACAAAAAGAAGCCCUAAAACUUCAAGCCAGGAAAACCAACUGGGAGCAGCUCCAGUGGCCUGGUGGUUAUAGUUUGGAUGCUCGGCUUCGGCGGCCUGGGUUUGGUGUCCCCUGUCAGUAUUGUCUGUCAGUAGCCAUGCUGUGGUGGUGGCUCACAUAGGAGAACCAGAAGGACCUACAACUAUGUACUGGGACUUUGGGGAGAAAAGAAAGAGGAAGGUUGGCAACAGAUGGUAACUCAGGGCAAACCUUUCCCAACAACAACAAAAAAAGAAAAAAUGAAAAACCGAGUGGGUUUCACACCAUGGAUCAGCAGUGACAAUAACAUCGCAUUUACCCACAGCAGCAUUGGAAGCCGGGAGAUGCGAGGACAAUGUUCUCACAGCUCGGAGGGAAAAUGGUGACUGUGCUGGAGUUUUAUACCCAACCAAACUGUCAUCUGGUGAGCAUGGACUAAAGGCAUUUUAAAGCCACGUGUCUGCCUGCCAUGUGCCCUUUCUCAGGAAACUACUGAAGGACUACUCCACCAAACAAGGAGUAAACUGAGAAAGGGGAAGGCAUGGGAUCCCGGAAAAUCCAACCCAGGGAAGAAGCAAAGGGAAUCUUUAGGAUGAAGACCAAGGGAGCUCUCAAGGUGCCAGCCCUGCCACAGACCCAGGCAGGAUGGUCCAGGACUGCGCAGGUGGGGGCUCCUGCAGGGACCUCCUUGGAAAUACCCUUGUGUUAGAACGUAAGCCACUGGUGGGAGCCUGAGGGUGAACUGGUGAUGAGUUCAGAGAAAACUCAGCUGGCACGAAAAAAGAAAGGCAAUUAUUAACUCCAGGGAAAACAGCGCAUCUGUGGGUAGGAACAGUAACCAUGGCAUGCCACAGGCCUGGCGUGAAUGCAAAUCUAAUUGCUGAAUACAGAGCUAACUAGAGAUAUAAGGUAACUCUGUUGGGAAUAUAGGAGGACCCAAGUGUGUGUGGGAGUGGGGAGAAGUGAAGAAAUAAUUGGCAUCUUCCUUAGAGUGAAUUUAACAGAUAGCACCUGAGACGGAAACACUGAGAAGCUGAUAUUCAGUCACGUUCUCACGCAGACGCUGGCACAGGAGUCGCAUGGGAAGAUGGAAGUGGUUGCCCGUGGGGCUGGUGUCGAGGGUCUGGCAGAGGCUGGAUUUGUUCAAGCCUCACAGAAAUGUCUGACUCUUAAACUACAUACAAGUAUAACUUUGAUAAAAAAUGAAACUAAACAUUCAGUUGGUGCACUCCCCAUCCUCUGAGGCCUGGCAGUCAUUUCAGCAAAACGGAAAUGACCUGUAAUGAAAGGUCAGCUGGAACUUGGCUGUGAAUGUAUCUGUUCUCAUUCCAUUUUCAAGGAAAUGUCUCUGAGCACCUUUCCUGACUCUUCUACGUAACAGGCCACCUCACAUUUCCACCCCCCUUUUGAUAGUUGAUAUUCUGCUGGACAGCAUCCAUUUCUCUGGGUUUUCCCAGUAUGGGGCCACAUGCAGUCCAGCACCCCCAGCCCACUGUCCACCCUCCGGGUCAGGCACGGUCUCCAUGGCGGCCACUCAUUUUGCUGCGUGGCCGUGAGGCUGUGUCGCUAUGGCGCUACCCUGUGCCUCGGGCCUCAUCUCAGUUCACUGUGCCUGUGUUACCAUGGCACCCUGGGCACUGAAUCUCGGCAGGAUUGAAUUCCACACAUAGACGUGUGUCUUGUCAAACAGGAUAAAUAUGGUUUCCUUGCAAGAGUGUCUGGCCGUUGUCGUGUCCAGGAAACGUAAACCAAGCCAUCUGGGUCUUGCUCCCUGCCUCCAGGGCCCCCAGGUUUCAGGCUGUCAUCUUCAGGGAUGGCUGGGUCAUAAAUAGGCCCGUGAACAGUUUAGGCCCUUCCCACAGGAAGUUCAGAAACACACACAAACGUCACAGAGGUCCAAGACCCCGACUUCUCCUGGGGAGCCCUGGCAUCACCUCGCAGCCUUUCCAUGGAGAAGACUGGGGCUGAAUUUCCAACAGGCCACGGUGCUGUGGGGUCUCGGCAGCCCGGCCGACCAGCACUGGCCCAUUUUCAAGCCCCAGCUUUCCCAUCUGUUUUCAAACACUCCCACGUGUGUGUGGGCACAAUCCCCACCCAUCCCCCCAACAAAUAGCAUAAAUGGCCGCUUUCUGUAAGACUGUCCAGCAAGGGCAUCCACUUCCAGAGGCCCCCACCUUCUCCCGUGGGCUCCUUGCCGCCCAGGGCACAGCCCCAUGCUCACAGCUGGGACCUUUCCAGAGUCCCUGAUGCCCCAGUGCCACCAGCAGCAUCAGGACACCUCAGAGACAGCAGGCUGGACCGCGGCUCAGAAGGGAAAGCUUCGGAAUGGGCGCUGGUGGGGGUGGGGCACGGGUUCUGGAGCCAGCUCCGUCCAGAAGCGAUCAGGUAACCUCGGACCCCAGGAGACAAACCUCUCCGGACGCUCCCCAUGAGCCUCAGUCCUACCUGGUUCCCGAGGAUGGCGGCAUCCCGGCACGGCUCCUCAGGGCACCCGCUCUGCCUUAUCAUGGCCUGGCUGGUCGGAAUGCGGUGGAAACCUUUGCCUGGUACAAGCGGCCUCUGCAACACAGCCCAGGAAUUUUGCAUUGAAUAAUUUUUAACUUCUGCUCUGAGAGAAAACCAGGGUUGUGUAAAGUGUCUGUCUACACAGGAAUGCCAAGGGGCUUUCAUUUGCAAGUAAAUACCUCAAUAAUAACGAGGAAAAC